GAUGAACGCUGGCGGCGUGCCUAAUACAUGCAAGUCGAGCGAACGGACGAGAAGCUUGCUUCUCUGAUGUUAGCGGCGGACGGGUGAGUAACACGUGGAUAACCUACCUAUAAGACUGGGAUAACUUCGGGAAACCGGAGCUAAUACCGGAUAAUAUUUUGAACCGCAUGGUUCAAAAGUGAAAGACGGUCUUGCUGUCACUUAUAGAUGGAUCCGCGCUGCAUUAGCUAGUUGGUAAGGUAACGGCUUACCAAGGCAACGAUGCAUAGCCGACCUGAGAGGGUGAUCGGCCACACUGGAACUGAGACACGGUCCAGACUCCUACGGGAGGCAGCAGUAGGGAAUCUUCCGCAAUGGGCGAAAGCCUGACGGAGCAACGCCGCGUGAGUGAUGAAGGUCUUAGGAUCGUAAAACUCUGUUAUUAGGGAAGAACAUAUGUGUAAGUAACUGUGCACUUCUUGACGGUACCUAAUCAGAAAGCCACGGCUAACUACGUG
This 497-nucleotide ribosomal RNA is filed under the name uncultured bacterium. RNAcentral describes it as "partial 16S ribosomal RNA". It matches the Rfam family "Bacterial small subunit ribosomal RNA", at positions 28 to 507 of the family's 1533-position model. The record is from RNAcentral.